UCGAGAAUUUUUCUCAAUGGGGGAAACCCUGAAGGAGCGACGCCGCGUGGGGGAUGAAGGACUUCGGUUCGUAAACCCCUGUCACUUGGGAACAAAAGUACUAACCUAACACGUUAGUGCCUGAUAGUACCAGGAGAGGAAGGCACGGCUAACUCUGUGCCAGCAGCCGCGGUAAUACAGAGGUGCCAAGCGUUGUUCGGAUUUAUUGGGCGUAAAGGGUGCGUAGGCGGCCAUGCAAGUCGGAUGUGAAAUACCGGAGCCUAACUCCGGAACGGCAUUCGAAACUGCAUGGCUCGAGAACUGGAGAGGUGACUGGAAUUCUUGGUGUAGCAGUGAAAUGCGUAGAUAUCAAGAGGAACACCAGAGGCGAAAGCGAGUCACUGGACAGAUUCUGACGCUGAGGCACGAAAGCUAGGGGAGCAAACGGGAUUAGAUACCCCCGUAGUCC
Molecule: ribosomal RNA, 448 nt
Filed under: uncultured bacterium
Lineage: Bacteria
Description: bacterial SSU rRNA
Rfam family: Bacterial small subunit ribosomal RNA
Source: RNAcentral